CAACUUGAGAGUUUGAUCCUGGCUCAGAACGAACGCUGGCGGCAGGCUUAACACAUGCAAGUCGAACGCCCUCUUCGGAGGGAGUGGCAGACGGGUGAGUAACGCGUGGGAACCUACCUUUAGGUACGGAAUAACAGUUAGAAAUGACUGCUAAUACCGUAUGUGCCCGAGAGGGGAAAGAUUUAUCGCCUAAAGAUGGGCCCGCGUUGGAUUAGCUAGUUGGUGAGGUAACGGCUCACCAAGGCGACGAUCCAUAGCUGGUUUGAGAGGAUGAUCAGCCACACUGGGACUGAGACACGGCCCAGACUCCUACGGGAGGCAGCAGUGGGGAAUAUUGGACAAUGGGGGAAACCCUGAUCCAGCCAUGCCGCGUGAGUGAUGAAGGCCUUAGGGUUGUAAAGCUCUUUCGCUGGGGAAGAUAAUGACGGUACCCAGUAAAGAAGCCCCGGCUAACUUCGUGCCAGCAGCCGCGGUAAUACGAAGGGGGCUAGCGUUGUUCGGAAUUACUGGGCGUAAAGCGCACGUAGGCGGGUAUUUAAGUCAGGGGUGAAAUCCCGGAGCUCAACUCCGGAACUGCCUUUGAUACUGGAUACCUUGAGUUCGAGAGAGGUGAGUGGAAUUCCGAGUGUAGAGGUGAAAUUCGUAGAUAUUCGGAGGAACACCAGUGGCGAAGGCGGCUCACUGGCUCGAUACUGACGCUGAGGUGCGAAAGCGUGGGG
Molecule: ribosomal RNA, 719 nt
Filed under: Hyphomicrobiales bacterium
Lineage: Bacteria; Pseudomonadati; Pseudomonadota; Alphaproteobacteria; Hyphomicrobiales
Description: bacterial SSU rRNA
Rfam family: Bacterial small subunit ribosomal RNA
Source: RNAcentral